GCCCGGAUGGCGAAAUUGGUAAACGUUGCGGUCUCAGAAGCCGUUGGAGUAAGAUCCUUGAGAGUUCGAGUCUCUCUUCGGGCACGA
This 87-nucleotide transfer RNA is filed under the name Pedobacter cryoconitis. Its description in RNAcentral is "tRNA-Leu". It matches the Rfam family "tRNA". Rfam says of the family: Transfer RNA (tRNA) molecules are approximately 80 nucleotides in length. Their secondary structure includes four short double-helical elements and three loops (D, anti-codon, and T loops). Lineage: Bacteria; Pseudomonadati; Bacteroidota; Sphingobacteriia; Sphingobacteriales; Sphingobacteriaceae. The record is from RNAcentral.